CUUGCUUCAUUCCCCGUAUUUGCAACCCUUCCCAACUUGUUUUAUACUGCCGAUAUGUCAACAAACAGUUACCUAAUGCAUGUAUCAACUUGCUUGCAUCCGCACUGUCAAAUGUCCACCCGACCCCAGACUCUUCAAACGGAUUGAACUGCUGCACUGUGUCUCUCAGUCCACCGACUGCAUGGACAACCGGUAUUGUUCCAUAGUUCUUAGCAUAUAGUUGGUUUAGACCGCAGGGUUCAAAUCUUGAUGGCAUGAGUAAAAUAUCAGCCCCGGCUGUUAUACGGUGAGCUGUCUUUACGGAAAACCCUACCCAUCCUCUUACUUUGUCACGAUGUUCGUUUUCAAACUGUCUAAGCAUCUGUUCUAGGUCAGGUCUGCCGGUGCCUAACAUGACUAAUUGCACAUCUUGGCCUAUCAUCCAGGGAAUUGCCUCGGCAAUUAGAUCAACACCUUUUUGUUGAUCUAGUCUCCCGAUAAAGCCAAGCAGUGGGACAUCUUCGCGAACUGGCAACCCGAGCUCCUUUUGUAGCGCGGCCUUGCAUUUAGGUUUACCGGUUUGCAGUGUUUCCAAGGAGUAGUUAGUAUAACCAUCGGAUUUGAGGUGAAUAUCAUAUUGUGGAUUCCAUUCCUUUGUAUCG
RNAcentral lists this long non-coding RNA (641 nucleotides) under Gossypium barbadense (sea-island cotton). RNAcentral's name for it is "long non-coding RNA (GBAR_LNC018973)". Lineage: Eukaryota; Viridiplantae; Streptophyta; Magnoliopsida; Malvales; Malvaceae. The record is from RNAcentral.